GUAUGAAGCUGGAAUCGCUAGUAAUCGCAGAUCAGAAUGCUGCGGUGAAUACGUUCCCGGGUCUUGUACACACCGCCCGUCACACCAUGGAGCCAGGAAUGCCCGAAGCCAGUGGCCUAACCGCAAGGGAGGAGCUGUCGAAGGCAGGCCCGGUAACUGGGGUGAAGUCGUAACAAGGUAGC
Molecule: ribosomal RNA, 182 nt
Filed under: uncultured bacterium
Lineage: Bacteria
Description: partial 16S ribosomal RNA
Rfam family: Bacterial small subunit ribosomal RNA
Source: RNAcentral